GGUUAAGCGACUAAGCGUACACGGUGGAUGNNNNNNNNGUCAGAGGCGAUGAAGGACGUGCUAAUCUGCGAUAAGCGUCGGUAAGGUGAUAUGAACCGUUAUAACCGGCGAUUUCCGAAUGGGGAAACCCAGUGUGUUUCGACACACUAUCAUUAACUGAAUCCAUAGGUUAAUGAGGCGAACCGGGGGAACUGAAACAUCUAAGUACCCCGAGGAAAAGAAAUCAACCGAGAUUCCCCCAGUAGCGGCGAGCGAACGGGGAGCAGCCCAGAGCCUGAAUCAGUGUGUGUGUUAGUGGAAGCGUCUGGAAAGGCGCGCGAUACAGGGUGACAGCCCCGUACACAAAAAUGCACAUGCUGUGAGCUCGAUGAGUAGGGCGGGACACGUGGUAUCCUGUCUGAAUAUGGGGGGACCAUCCUCCAAGGCUAAAUACUCCUGACUGACCGAUAGUGAACCAGUACCGUGAGGGAAAGGCGAAAAGAACCCCGGCGAGGGGAGUGAAAAAGAACCUGAAACCGUGUACGUACAAGCAGUGGGAGCACGCUUAGGCGUGUGACUGCGUACCUUUUGUAUAAUGGGUCAGCGACUUAUAUUCUGUAGCAAGGUUAACCGAAUAGGGGAGCCGAAGGGAAACCGAGUCUUAACUGGGCGUUAAGUUGCAGGGUAUAGACCCGAAACCCGGUGAUCUAGCCAUGGGCAGGUUGAAGGUUGGGUAACACUAACUGGAGGACCGAACCGACUAAUGUUGAAAAAUUAGCGGAUGACUUGUGGCUGGGGGUGAAAGGCCAAUCAAACCGGGAGAUAGCUGGUUCUCCCCGAAAGCUAUUUAGGUAGCGCCUCGUGAAUUCAUCUCCGGGGGUAGAGCACUGUUUCGGCAAGGGGGUCAUCCCGACUUACCAACCCGAUGCAAACUGCGAAUACCGGAGAAUGUUAUCACGGGAGACACACGGCGGGUGCUAACGUCCGUCGUGAAGAGGGAAACAACCCAGACCGCCAGCUAAGGUCCCAAAGUCAUGGUUAAGUGGGAAACGAUGUGGGAAGGCCCAGACAGCCAGGAUGUUGGCUUAGAAGCAGCCAUCAUUUAAAGAAAGCGUAAUAGCUCACUGGUCGAGUCGGCCUGCGCGGAAGAUGUAACGGGGCUAAACCAUGCACCGAAGCUGCGGCAGCGACGCUUAUGCGUUGUUGGGUAGGGGAGCGUUCUGUAAGCCUGUGAAGGUGUGCUGUGAGGCAUGCUGGAGGUAUCAGAAGUGCGAAUGCUGACAUAAGUAACGAUAAAGCGGGUGAAAAGCCCGCUCGCCGGAAGACCAAGGGUUCCUGUCCAACGUUAAUCGGGGCAGGGUGAGUCGACCCCUAAGGCGAGGCCGAAAGGCGUAGUCGAUGGGAAACAGGUUAAUAUUCCUGUACUUGGUGUUACUGCGAAGGGGGGACGGAGAAGGCUAUGUUGGCCGGGCGACGGUUGUCCCGGUUUAAGCGUGUAGGCUGGUUUUCCAGGCAAAUCCGGAAAAUCAAGGCUGAGGCGUGAUGACGAGGCACUACGGUGCUGAAGCAACAAAUGCCCUGCUUCCAGGAAAAGCCUCUAAGCAUCAGGUAACAUCAAAUCGUACCCCAAACCGACACAGGUGGUCAGGUAGAGAAUACCAAGGCGCUUGAGAGAACUCGGGUGAAGGAACUAGGCAAAAUGGUGCCGUAACUUCGGGAGAAGGCACGCUGAUAUGUAGGUGAAGUCCCUCGCGGAUGGAGCUGAAAUCAGUCGAAGAUACCAGCUGGCUGCAACUGUUUAUUAAAAACACAGCACUGUGCAAACACGAAAGUGGACGUAUACGGUGUGACGCCUGCCCGGUGCCGGAAGGUUAAUUGAUGGGGUUAGCCGCAAGGCGAAGCUCUUGAUCGAAGCCCCGGUAAACGGCGGCCGUAACUAUAACGGUCCUAAGGUAGCGAAAUUCCUUGUCGGGUAAGUUCCGACCUGCACGAAUGGCGUAAUGAUGGCCAGGCUGUCUCCACCCGAGACUCAGUGAAAUUGAACUCGCUGUGAAGAUGCAGUGUACCCGCGGCAAGACGGAAAGACCCCGUGAACCUUUACUAUAGCUUGACACUGAACAUUGAGCCUUGAUGUGUAGGAUAGGUGGGAGNNNNNNNNNNNNNNNNNNNNNUCUGCAUGGAGCCGACCUUGAAAUACCACCCUUUAAUGUUUGAUGUUCUAACGUUGACCCGUAAUCCGGGUUGCGGACAGUGUCUGGUGGGUAGUUUGACUGGGGCGGUCUCCUCCUAAAGAGUAACGGAGGAGCACGAAGGUUGGCUAAUCCUGGUCGGACAUCAGGAGGUUAGUGCAAUGGCAUAAGCCAGCUUGACUGCGAGCGUGACGGCGCGAGCAGGUGCGAAAGCAGGUCAUAGUGAUCCGGUGGUUCUGAAUGGAAGGGCCAUCGCUCAACGGAUAAAAGGUACUCCGGGGAUAACAGGCUGAUACCGCCCAAGAGUUCAUAUCGACGGCGGUGUUUGGCACCUCGAUGUCGGCUCAUCACAUCCUGGGGCUGAAGUAGGUCCCAAGGGUAUGGCUGUUCGCCAUUUAAAGUGGUACGCGAGCUGGGUUUAGAACGUCGUGAGACAGUUCGGUCCCUAUCUGCCGUGGGCGCUGGAGAACUGAGGGGGGCUGCUCCUAGUACGAGAGGACCGGAGUGGACGCAUCACUGGUGUUCGGGUUGUCAUGCCAAUGGCACUGCCCGGUAGCUAAAUGCGGAAGAGAUAAGUGCUGAAAGCAUCUAAGCACGAAACUUGCCCCGAGAUGAGUUCUCCCUGACUCCUUGAGAGUCCUGAAGGAACGUUGAAGACGACGACGUUGAUAGGCCGGGUGUGUAAGCGCAGCGAUGCGUUGAGCUAACCGGUACUAAUGAACCGUGAGGCUUAACCUU
This 2906-nucleotide ribosomal RNA is filed under the name Escherichia coli. RNAcentral describes it as "23S ribosomal RNA". It matches the Rfam family "Bacterial large subunit ribosomal RNA". Lineage: Bacteria; Pseudomonadati; Pseudomonadota; Gammaproteobacteria; Enterobacterales; Enterobacteriaceae. The record is from RNAcentral.